Molecule: ribosomal RNA, 1336 nt
Filed under: Culex quinquefasciatus (southern house mosquito)
Lineage: Eukaryota; Metazoa; Arthropoda; Insecta; Diptera; Culicidae
Also listed under: 2 other names
Description: 16S ribosomal RNA
Rfam family: Bacterial large subunit ribosomal RNA (bases 892-1253)
Source: RNAcentral
UUAGAUUUUAUUUAUUAAUUUUAUUUAUUUAUUUAAUUUAUUUAAUAAAAAUAAUUUUAAAAUUUUAAGUUUUAGUAUUUUAUAAAGAAAAAAUAAUUUUAAUUAUAGUUUAUUUGUAUUGUAAAAGAAAAUUGAAAUAAUUUGAAAAAUUUUUAUUUUAAAAGAAAAUUUAAUUUAUUGUACCUUGUGUAUCAGGGUUUAUUAAAUAAAAAAUUAUUAUAUUAAUUUUUCUCGAAUUUUAAAGAUUUAAUUAUAUAUAAAAGUUACUGUGGAAUAAUUAUUUUUAAUAUAUAAUUAGAAAUGAAAUGUUAAUCGUUUUAAAAUAUAUCUAGUUUUUUAAGAAAUAAAUUUAAUUUAGACUUAUAAAUUUAAAUUAUUUAAUUAAUAUAAAUAAUUUAAUUUAUAAGAUUAAUAUUUUAAGGGAUUAGCUUUAAAAUAAAUUUUUAAAUUUUAAAUUAAUUAUUUAAUAAAUAUAAGCUUAAAAAUAGCUAUUAUUAAUAAAUUUGUUAUAAUUUAUUUUAAAAAUUUAAUUAUUUAUUAUAAAAUUAAAUUAUUUAUUAAAAUAUAAAUUUUAAUAAUAAAAAUUUAUAAAUUAUGAUAAAAUUAGUAUAUAAAAUUUUUAUAAAUAAUUAUUUAUGAAAGGUUUAAAUAAGGAAUUCGGCAAAAUAUAUAUUCACCUGUUUAUCAAAAACAUGUCUUUUUGAAUUAAAUUUAAAGUCUAACCUGCCCACUGAUAUAAAUUAAAGGGCCGCAGUAUUUUGACUGUGCGAAGGUAGCAUAAUCACUAGUCUUUUAAUUGGAGGCUUGUAUGAAUGGUUGAAUGAGAUAUAUACUGUCUUUUUUAAAAUUAUAUAGAAUUUUAUUUUUUAAUUAAAAAGUUAAAAUAAAAUUAAAGGACGAGAAGACCCUAUAGAUCUUUAUUUUUGUUAUUUAUAAAUUAAAAAGAAUUUUAAAAUUUAUAAUUUAAUAAAAAAUUUUAUUGGGGUGAUAUUAAAAUUUAAAAAACUUUUAAAAUUUAUUAACAUAAAUAUAUGAAUAAAUGAUCCAGUUUUAUUGAUUAAAAAUUUAAGUUACCUUAGGGAUAACAGCGUAAUUUUUUUUUAGAGUUCAUAUCGACAAAAAAGAUUGCGACCUCGAUGUUGGAUUAAGAGUUAUUUUUAGGUGUAGAAGUUUAAAGUUUAGGUCUGUUCGACCUUUGAAUUCUUACAUGAUCUGAGUUCAAACCGGCGUAAGCCAGGUUGGUUUCUAUCCUUAAUUAAUUAUUAUGUUAUAGUACGAAAGGACCUAAUAUAAGAAAUAUAGAUUUUAAUAAUAUGAUUAAUAUUAAUAUUAGAUA